AUCUCUUGCGCGCGCACAGACACACACAUCAACGCCUCUACGACGACGACUGGAUCCGCAAAGCAUCGGCUAGUGUCACUCUUCUCUGCUGUCUUUUUUUUUUCCAGAUUGGAGCACUUGCACCUCCUUCUCGAGCGUCUCCGCUUGCUUCUCGUGUAUUCCCCGCUUGCCGUGCUGCAAACCGUAAACAGCGCGCCAGUGGCGGAGAGGACUCCGUUGUGCAAACAAAAAAAACAAGAAAAACGGAGAAGGUGGGCAAGAGCAACGCCACAAGACAACGGUGUUGGUGGUUGUGGUUGUGUUGGAAGCGAUUGUGUGUGAGGCGCAGGCGACCCAUCGCCUCUCCUCUUGUUAUUCGCGCUCGCUCGCACACGUGCGCUUCACCUGCACACAGCCGUACUCAACUCGCCGUUUCAUCCCUCCUGGCUCCCAUCUUGAGACUUUUUGCGUCCACCCCCUCACCUUCUGUGGCGUCCAGGCACUGCAACGCCUAUCUACCCGCAGAACGACAAAGCAAGUAGGCGCAUACGGCUACGAAUUUCCCACCACUCCCAGACAACAAAUACCCACACAAACACAAAGGCGGCCCUGUAACAUACGUGCAUAAUAAAAUCAUCACAACCCCCUCCCCUCCCUCCGUGUAUCUCUCCCCCCCUCCCCUCUCACCGCCCCAAUUCACGAACGCUUUCUGUGACACUUUUCUUUUGGCUCUAUUUCUCUGUCUUUUCCAUCUUUUCUCUGUGUUUCUCUGGUGGACCCCCGCCUCCUUUCCUCCCUCCUCACCUUCGUUUGGCGAACUCUGGCUCGCUCCUACCUUCCCCUUCUCUCAUCUCACCACCACCACUACCGCACACACACACACGCGCGCGCCUCGGGCAUUUCAGUACGUACGCGUGCACAGCGGAGUCGGCUGCUCGUCACGUGCACAUCUGCCCGCCCCUCCUUCGUUCUUUCCCUUCAUUCCUUCCUUGGAGGGAGCGGUGCAAGUGUCUUGCGCUUUCUGCGGAACCUAUCGAGCCGUUUUCAGAGGGGUGCCCCGUCGAGCCUAACGAGAACGCAGGGGUCUGCCCGCACAGGCCCGCACAUUCACAUCUGAACUCAGUGGGUGAGACGCGAAGGGGAAGAGAGAAGGGAAGAGAAAGAGAAGACACCCCUUCGAAUCCGUCGACGGCAUCCUUUCUCGUCGUCGUUGUUUCUCGCGCUCUCGCGCUCUCGUGCCCUACCCACACGCCGCAGUGCAACCGUUCUGCUCCCUCUCUGGCUCUCGACACCUCUGCGAACCCGCUUUGCCCGAAGCCGAAGGAGCGGAAAGGGACAGCGGGCGUCCAUCGCCGUUGGCAGUCCGCCGCCCCCCUUCCUCGCCCUCCACUCGCCUCGCAGUGCGUCUUUGCUUUGCGCUCUUCUGUGCCGUUUCGUUGGAGUAAAGGACCCCCCUCCCCCCGCCCGCCCCCUCCGAUACCAAAAAACAAAAAAGAGGUGUUUGGGACACCGUUGGCGCGCGUUCUCGUGUGUGCGCUGCCGUGUGAUUGCCACCGCCUCAUACACUUACGUCUGCUCCCCCCCCUUCCCCACACCUCUGCCGCCGCCUCCUUUUCACAACUCGAAACCUUUUCGUUUUUGUAUAUGCGAUUCCUGUAACUUAUAUAUUUCGUUGUUGUGGCGUCUUCUCUGUGUGCGUAUGUGUGUGUGUGCCUCGUCUUCAUUUUCGCUUUGGUUCUCUCACUUCACUCAUUCACUUUCUGUUCGUUGCUGCCGUUGCUGGUGUUGUUGCUGCUGUCUUUCUCCUCCGCCCCUUCAUUUGUUUCCUUUCCUUCGUUCUUUCGCUGUGUGUGUGAGUGGGUGCGCGUGUGGGCACCAGUGCACAUCUGUUCUCUAUCGCCAGCGCCCCCGUAAGCCUACCUCUCUCUUUUUCUUUCUCUGCCAUUUUGGUCCACUCAGACGCGCGGCCACUGCGGCAGCCACACGAGCUCGACCUUGACUAUAAUUCUCUUUGACACCAAUCUUCCAGCGACGAUACAACACAUCGACGGACGGAGGUGGCGUGCUUCUUCGCUUGUGUGCCUUUGUUGCUUCCACUUGUGCCUUUCUAUUUGUUCUCUCUUGCGUAUUUGGGCGGUUAUCGUGGCUGCCUUCCCCUGUGCCCUCUAUUACGACCCUCCUGCCUGCCUGCCCCCUUCUUCUUUUCAACGUUGGUGCUGGCUUUACCCCCACAGGUUAUGUGCUUUGGGGGAGGGGGGCACCUCGUAUUAUUGGGCCAUUCCGCUGUGCUUUUUUUUUGCUCUUGUGGGCGUCGUGCGCGUCACAGCACGCGUGGUGCGGGCACUCUCUCCUUUCUCUCUUGCGCGCGCAUAUCUGCAUCAUCUGCGCCACAACGAUAGCCUCCCCACACCUCCUUCCCUUUUGUCACCUUUACAGCGGCCUCACCUUUUACUUGCUCAGUGUCACUUUCUUUUUCCUUUUCUGUCUUCACGCUGUUAGUGCUAUUGUUGUGUGUGUGUGCGCCACCCCUUCCAUUCCUGCCUCGACCCCCCCCCCUCGCACCACCGCACCACCAUCUUUCCUCGCGUGUCUGUCUGUCUGCCUCAUUUCCUACCCCACUACCGCUGCCGCUUUUCCUUUGCUUCUCUUUUCCUUUUUUUUUCAUUUCACUUUGUGAUCGCGUCAGCCGGUGCUCAUCUGCCGCUGCCGCGCCUCUCCACUCCUUUCGCUCUCUUGGCGUCAUCGUCCCUGACCCCACAAUCGUCGGCAACCAGAGCCUAGAGAAGCAUCCCCCCUCCUCCUCCCCCGAAAGCCCUCGUCACUCAAGAGAGCGAAGUGCGGUGUGCGCGCAGCUGCUUGUACAUCUCAGCAGACACCUCGAUUCGUCCCGCCCCCCGAGGCGCACACACGUACAAAGCCGCGUGUCUCAUUGUGCAUGGGCUAGGCUGCACGGCUGUGACCAGUACACGAUUCUCAUCAGCGCCGUCAUCUCUGUCGACUUCGACGGAACUGCACAUCCGCCGUGCUCGGCGCUACAGAGGAUCACAGCGGUGGUACUGCCACGCGCGGAGUGUGACCAAAGAGGACGCACGACGACGACAUACGCAAAAACGGCUGCGCCCAGUGGGGCACUGCUAUCGCCUUGAGUUUCCACAUCGACGGACUCGUUCUCUGACAGCGCCUCAACCACCACAGCAGAGUUUGGAGGCGGGCCCUUAUCCAUCUGCCGCCGUUUCGUACACUGCCGGCGUGGUAGGGCAUACCUUUCGGAUUCUCAGCGGCACGAGAGCCGAUUCGAGGCACCAAUGCACGAAGCAAUACUAAGUCUUCACAGCUCGCCAGAGAGCCUCUUGUCGGCUGAUCGGAGAUUCUGCUCCACCGAGGAUAGAAGCGUACGCCGCAGCACCCCGAAGGCGUUGCAACCGCCUCCGCCGUCUCGCUUACCGAGGCGGGCAACCUCGUCACCACUCACAUCGCCGUCGACCACGGUGGCGAUAGAAAGCGCCAGCAGAGCAGCAGGGCACCGCGGCGCACCGCAAGACCCCACUUUCUGUUCCAUCGCUGCCAUAAACAUACAGACGCAAGAAGCACUCGUCACGUCGCACCUGCGCACGCCAGAUCCGCGCGAUAGUAGUACCCUCGAUCACAGCCAGAGCCGGAGCGUAGACCUGCCGCCCAAGCAGCGGGGCAGCUUGCGGAAGCGGAGCGGCGGGGUCGGUAUGACCUCAGAGGCCUCCUUUCGGUGCUUUCGCACCGGGCCGGGCGCCAUGUUAGCUGAGGCGGCCGGCAUCGCCCGCAGCGCCAUUGCGUCAGAUGAGGGGGACCGCAGCAAUGCGAGCGGACCCGGGGGCCCGAGCAGCAGAAACGGCACCCCGCUGAUCAUCGACUACUCCUCUAGUCCUCUCACGCUGGCGGUCAACAGUGCGAACGCGAACAAAACCAUCAAAAACACAAGCAGCGCUACGAGCGUGGACAGCGUUUCGAUCAGCAAGCCUGCACGUCUCAGCUUGACUCGACCGACGCCGCUUGCCGAAGCGGCACCCGUUUCAGCGACUUUGAACGCCACACAGUCGAAGACGUCGUCAAGUUCUUCAGUGGCGCAGCCAGAGGUUGUGACCACGCCGCUAUCCCUGAUGCGCCAAGCCCCGCUAAAGUCGCCUAGCGGAGUGUCGCGCCACCGCAGUGGCCGCUCCCGGCAGGAUUCAUAUGCGUCUCUUUCCGUAGCGUCCACCAUCUCCGUGGAGGACCCGAGUCACCCGCACCGCAGCCGCCGCGAGAGCUCCGCGUGCUCGUCUUGCACGGACACAGGAGUGAGCGGCUUUCCCAGGCCGGCGUUCAAUCGCCGCGUGCACUUCUUGUUAGAUGAUCCUGCCAGAGAUGGUCUCUCAGUUGCUGAUGGCCUGACGGCGUCUCUGCGGUGCAGCGAUGAUGCCAGAGCGCGGCUUCCGCUUUGCCCAUCAACCUCUUCGAUUGUGCCGCCGCCGCCUGAUGCCGAUCAAAGGCCGGCGAUCUCCGCGAACAGCAGCAGCAACAGCAAGUCCGCCCUGAGCGCGUCAUCUGAGUCUCCCCAUGGGCAGCUGCAGCUCGGCCCCUCCCUCGGUGGGGCGGCGACGCGCCCGGCGUCGUCUUCGCUGUCACUCGACCGGUCGGCGACACCGGUUGCUCAAAGCGGCGGCGCCUCGCUGUUCUCGCUGCACCUCAACAAGAAAGAGGGACGCAUCGAGGCGACGCCAGCCUUCGCCCCGGCCAAAAGCCCGGGCAGCAGUGACAUGAGGACCACCGAGGUUGGUGGUGUGUGCUUCCAUUCUGCUCUCUCCGCGACGACGGCGUCUGCGACGGGUAUCGCUUCCUCGUGGAGCAGUACCUCGGGAACCCACGCUACUGCAACCUACCAGCCGGGCCAACCCCUGCCCAAGCCGGCGCUGAAGCAGGUCUCUCGAUAUAGCGAAGGCUGGAGCGCCGCCGACAGUCGCACGGGCUCGAAACUCGUGAACGAAGGCAGCGAUCGAUGGUUGUGGUGGCGGUCUAACGCCACGGCGGUUGCCGGCACGACGGCAGCGGGGUCCCCUGGGCCGGCGUCCUUGACGAGUGUGGUGGGCCGGCGCUUCACCAGCUACUUGCAAGGAGUGCUUAUUUCUCGGCAGCGGCAUCGCGUGCGCGCCGCUGAGGAGGCGUCCGCAACAUCAGGGAGAGCUGCGUUCGCCGGAGGAGUUGCCGCGAGGUCGCCAACGAAGCCCUCUUCCGUGCUAACUGCGGGCAGUCGGGGCAGAAGGGCCGAGCUACUAGUGAGGCUGUGGCUUGUGAAGUGGUCACUGGUGGGUAUGGUGGCGCUCGCGUCGUUCUUCUUUAUCUUGAUUGAGCUCGUCGCGGACUGACUUCUUCCUCACUUGAAGGGUCGAAUGGAGUGGGGACGAGGAAUGCCGGUGCUGUCAGGAUCUGUACCGCGGCGGCGAGGCGGUUGUUGUGGUGGGGUGCGGCCACGAAGCGAGCGUCAUUUUGUCAGCUUCUUCACCUCCCCUUCAGCUUUUAGCUCCAGUGUGUGUGUGUGUGUGUGUGCGUUGUAGCCCCGCGUGCUGCCCCUUCUGCCGUUCUGCUUCCCCCUUCCACAACCACGACUGCUCCCUCUUCUUCAGGACCACCUUCAUAUAUAUUCUCGUUUUGCGCCUGCGUGGUCGUGUGUGUGUGUGCGUGUACGUGCGUGUUUCUCUCCGCCCUUCCACUCAUCUCCAUUUUUUUCUGCUUCGCGUGCGCUGGAUAUCGUUGCUGCUGCGAUUACUUGUGCGUGAUGGAAGCAGAACGGUGCUCAGCUCGUGCGAGGAUGGAGAACGGAAGGGUUUGGAAGUGGCCAGCGGCAUUCGUUCGGUGCGUGGAGGGGCGAGAUCGGGGGUGUGGAUGAGGCCACUUUUAUGGGACGGUAAUGCACGAUAUGUCAGCACCUCCCUCCCGCUCUAUUUUCUUCCUUCGUUUUCGUUAUUGCGGCUGUACUCGCUGUCACCAACGCCAACAAAUUAGACGUGCAACACAGCCGCUGGCUCAACGCACUCUCGUCCCUUUUCCUUUGUGAUUGCUUGUUUUCUUUUCUGUCUUCUUCACUCGCCCACCCACAUCUGAGUAGGGCGGUGCUCUUCAAGUUUAGCUGUGGUGUUAGCAGCCGCCCGUCAUCAGCCCUUGCGAGGAUCUGCGACCCUUGUAGGGGUAACCAAGUCGGUUAUCGGUCGUCACGCGCGGAAUCAGACCGGAGGCUACUCGAAUAUGUGCGGGGUUGUAACGAGCGGUUGGCAUCAGCGGUCAAAUCUGAAGCUCGUGCCGUGCUGCCUUCUUCGCUCCUCUUCUUCCAUCCCUUCCUUCCCUCAUCACAAAGUCUGCGUGUUUUGUUCUGUUCUCUCUAACGGACGCGAUACGGUGGUAGGCGCGUGUGUUGGCGAUGCAUCUGCGAUUGUGUGGCUGCGUACCCAUGUGUGUAUGUGUGCGCCACAGCGCAGCUCAGGUUUCAGUUAAGUGACUGCAAGGGUGAAACGUGAAGGCAGACGAAGAGAGAGAGAGCAGCGCGCGCGAGAGUCUCUUCCCCUCCCCAAAUCUAAUAAAGAGGCGCUUGCCCGGCUACUGCACUGGGCAUUUUGUGCGAACGGGACACUAUCUCUUCUCCACCGCACCAAGGAGCCGCUCGCGCGAGUCUGCGAGCAGCGAAAUCAACUGAGCCUCUCCGAGCUCAUCGCCUUCUCCGAUGGUCUUUGCGUCGAAACGCUUCUCGCGCACUUG
This 6738-nucleotide unclassified non-coding RNA is filed under the name Leishmania donovani. Its description in RNAcentral is "gene:LdHU3.23.2080(CDS-product:hypothetical_prote in_conserved)". Lineage: Eukaryota; Euglenozoa; Kinetoplastea; Trypanosomatida; Trypanosomatidae. The record is from RNAcentral.